UAUGGCCACAUCACAUUGGAAUACCAGUUCCCAUAUGAUCACUGAAGUGAAGCAAUGUUGAGCCUGGUCAGUACCUAGAUGGUCAACCACUUGGGAAUAUCAGGUGCUGUAUG
Non-coding RNA from Acanthosepion pharaonis, 113 nucleotides. Lineage: Eukaryota; Metazoa; Mollusca; Cephalopoda; Sepiida; Sepiidae. The record is from the annotation of a GenBank genome assembly.